AGAAUCAACGCUGGCGGCGUGCCUAACACAUGCAAGUCGAACGAGAAAGUGGAGCAAUCCACGAGUAAAGUGGCGCACGGGUGAGUAACACGUGACUAACCUACCCUUGAGUGGGGGAUAACCUAGGGAAACCUGGGCUAAUACCGCAUAAUACCUACGGGUCAAAGGAGCAAUUCGCUUAAGGAGGGGGUCGCGGCCGAUUAGUUAGUUGGCGGGGUAAUGGCCCACCAAGACGAUGAUCGGUAUCC
This 248-nucleotide ribosomal RNA is filed under the name uncultured bacterium. Its description in RNAcentral is "partial small subunit ribosomal RNA". It matches the Rfam family "Bacterial small subunit ribosomal RNA", at positions 26 to 288 of the family's 1533-position model. The record is from RNAcentral.